CUUGCUGUCCAAACAGUCUCGGACUUUCACACGCCAUGGGUCGCGGUUUUCAUCGUAGAAAAAGAACUCCGAGUUUAACCAAUCAUUGUCUGUGAGAUCCCUUCUUUUCCCUCCUAGUGCUUUCCAUUCAUUCCACAUGCGGUCCACAUUGGCGUGGUGGCUGUAAAAAACUGGGUCUAAACCAGCUGAGUAGAAAUUACCCAUAUCCUCACCGUAUGAUGGCACACAAUUACCCAAAUCCGUACACCGCACAGUACCAGUCCAAAUGUGAACCGGAGUAUGAGGAAUGUUUUCAAUGGUUCCCUGCCCCGGAUUGGGUUUAGAUCCGAAUCUGUAAGGCUCUCCGAAGAACAACAGCGGGCAUGGAGCAUUAGUUAUCAUUUGACGAUACAUUAGAAUUAAGUUGUUAGUUAUCAUCUGUAUUUCAUUAGUUUUGACUUCAUCACCGAAAAAACCAAGAUCGAUUAUGGUUCCAUUACGGACAUGUGGAUUACGUCUUGCAUCGUAGAGGGAAGAACCUUCGACAUCGAACAUAGCAGGCAAACGCAUGCCGCUUGGAUGGUCCCAGUUCCAAUAUGGCAGAGCAAAAGUUGGAUCAUCGAUGAGGGAGCCCAAGAUUCUCUCGUAGAAGUACAAGUACCAUCUAUGAAACGGGAAGAAAAGCCACGAUUGGUGAACUUGUAACUUUUGGUCACCCAUUGUGUAAGCAUCGUUGCAAUAAGCACAAUGGAUAUUAGCUUGUUGCUUGAAGCCAAGAGGAUCAAAUGGGUCUUUGUCUAAUUCCCUCAUUUUACUAGUGGCUAACUGGUACUUGGCUAUAUACUCCUCACUCACGUCUUGGGCAGGGGGCCGCUUACGAAGCUUGGACAUGCGAGGGAUCUUGUAAUAUGGAACGCUGUCCAUAUCAUCUGGUGUAGGGGGGCAACAAGAAUAUGGUACAGUUGGACCAUCCGUUAUCGUGGCCGGGCCACAUGAUUUUAGAUCGGGGGGUGGUACGGGAGCAGCAGAGGCUAAUGGCGCAAGAUUAGUUGCGCCAUACAGCCCUCCUAAACCCAAAAGGACAUUCCUUCUGUCAACAGCUCCUUCUUUAACUGCGUCAAGCUGGUUUCCGUCAUGCU
RNAcentral lists this long non-coding RNA (1118 nucleotides) under Nicotiana tabacum (common tobacco). RNAcentral describes it as "long non-coding RNA (NTAB_LNC000491)". Lineage: Eukaryota; Viridiplantae; Streptophyta; Magnoliopsida; Solanales; Solanaceae. The record is from RNAcentral.